This 70-nucleotide transfer RNA is filed under the name Aspergillus pseudotamarii. It matches the Rfam family "tRNA". Rfam says of the family: Transfer RNA (tRNA) molecules are approximately 80 nucleotides in length. Lineage: Eukaryota; Fungi; Ascomycota; Eurotiomycetes; Eurotiales; Aspergillaceae. The record is from Rfam by way of RNAcentral.
GCAACCUAUCUUUGUGGUAGAAUUCAUCGUUGCCAUCGAUGAGGCCCGUGUUCGAUUCACGGAUGAUGCA